UAGCUCAGUUGGUAGAGCACCACCUUGCCAAGGUGGCUGUCGCGAGUUCGAGUCUCG
This 57-nucleotide transfer RNA is filed under the name Trueperaceae bacterium. RNAcentral describes it as "tRNA-Gly". It matches the Rfam family "tRNA", at positions 8 to 62 of the family's 71-position model. From Rfam's summary of the family: Transfer RNA (tRNA) molecules are approximately 80 nucleotides in length. Their secondary structure includes four short double-helical elements and three loops (D, anti-codon, and T loops). The record is from RNAcentral. Lineage: Bacteria; Thermotogati; Deinococcota; Deinococci; Trueperales; Trueperaceae.